RNAcentral lists this small nucleolar RNA (32 nucleotides) under Brugia malayi. RNAcentral's name for it is "snoRNA Bm16820". Lineage: Eukaryota; Metazoa; Nematoda; Chromadorea; Rhabditida; Onchocercidae. The record is from RNAcentral.
AUCAGUGUUGCCGUCAUCGUCAUCAUCACUCA